Molecule: long non-coding RNA, 344 nt
Filed under: Gallus gallus (chicken)
Lineage: Eukaryota; Metazoa; Chordata; Aves; Galliformes; Phasianidae
Source: RNAcentral
AGAUGGUUUGAGAAGGAAGCUGAGGAGCUCAGACGUCAAGAAAAGCCACCGUGGUGGGAAUUUAGGUAAGAAGGUUUGUAAUGAAAGGAAGAAUUUAAAGAUUCUGAUUCUUGAAGAAAAUGCAAUUCUCAUCAGAUCUGAAGCUAGCCUCGCUGCGAGUUGGUUGAGGCCAAAAAGUUUCACCUCAAGUCAUUACACCUGAAGGCAUCCUUGCUCAGCAAAUUACCUGAAAGCCUGCUCAAUUUUGAGAUGGUAAAUAUGUUGAAUUCAGCUAGAGGAAAACAAAAAAAAUCACGGUGAAAAGGAGAAGUUCAAAUGAGGUGAAGCUGCAUUUACUAACGGAG